CUGAAACGUCGCCGCCAUCGCUGACCCGACCCCGUCGCCGCCUCUACCUCGCUGCCGGCCGUCUGCCGUCAUCUUCCAUCGUCGCGCCACCCCUCAGUGAGCUUUCCUCUCUCCGAUGUCGUUCACCGGUGUAGUUUAUCCAUAGGGUCUUGAUCUAAUCUAAUCUAUUUCGCAGGUUGCUUUAAUCUUUUAUCUCGGUUAUAAAUUAUUUGUAAAUUGUUUAAUUAAUUUAGAAUAGUCUUUUCUUUAAUAGGUUUAAUUGGAAUUAAAUUUUGUAAAAUUCGUAACUAAUUCAUAUGAAGUCAGAAUGAGGCUGUUCAAGUCUCAUAAUUCAUCUAAAAUCAUGAUUUACAUGUUUGUUUACUUUAUAUGUAUUGUUUAUUUGGUUUUUAUUAGUCUUUUUCCUCGUUUUGCGUGUUAGCUUGUCGUUUCCGUCGUUUCGAAGGUUCGUGAGUGCGUCGGGAGUGUUCAGAAGAUUAAUUGAAGACCGAUUAUUGCAAGGCAAGUCACACAGAUCCUAAACACAAUCCUUUGAGCAUGUUGAUCCUAUAUUUAAAUUCUCUAUUUAUUUCAACUGUGCAUUUAUUUUCGAAUGUCACCGGGUGGUGUGAA
RNAcentral lists this long non-coding RNA (612 nucleotides) under Oryza sativa (Asian cultivated rice). RNAcentral describes it as "long non-coding RNA (OSAT_LNC001985)". Lineage: Eukaryota; Viridiplantae; Streptophyta; Magnoliopsida; Poales; Poaceae. The record is from RNAcentral.